GGCAAGGUGGCCGAGCGGUCCAAGGCGCCACGUUAAGGUAUAUCCUUAAUCUCAACUCCUCUCAUCAGGAGGCAGUUCCGUGGUCUCGAAAGGGGCGUGAGUUCGAAUCUCACCCUUGUCA
Molecule: transfer RNA, 121 nt
Filed under: Thermochaetoides thermophila DSM 1495
Lineage: Eukaryota; Fungi; Ascomycota; Sordariomycetes; Sordariales; Chaetomiaceae
Description: Chaetomium thermophilum var. thermophilum DSM 1495 tRNA
Rfam family: tRNA
About the family: Transfer RNA (tRNA) molecules are approximately 80 nucleotides in length.
Source: Rfam by way of RNAcentral